RNAcentral lists this ribosomal RNA (440 nucleotides) under uncultured bacterium. RNAcentral's name for it is "bacterial SSU rRNA". It matches the Rfam family "Bacterial small subunit ribosomal RNA", at positions 28 to 507 of the family's 1533-position model. The record is from RNAcentral.
GAUGAACGCUGGCGGUAUGCCUAACACAUGCAAGUCGUACGAGAGUUUUUAACUCUAGUGGCGGACGGGUGAGUAACACGUGAGAAUUUGCCUUUAGGAGGGGAUAACAAUUGGAAACGAAUGUUAAUACCCCAUAUGCUUUUGAGUGAAAUGGAUUUUAUCCGCCUAGAGAGAAGCUCGCGGCUGAUUAGCUUGUUGGUAAGGUAAGAGCUUACCAAGGCGACGAUCAGUAUCUGGUUUGAGAGGACGAUCAGACACACUGGAACUGAGACACGGUCCAGACUCCUACGGGAGGCAGCAGUGGGGAAUUUUCCGCAAUGGGCGAAAGCCUGACGGAGCAAUACCGCGUGAGGGAAGAAUGCCUAUGGGUUGUAAACCUCUUUUUUCAGGGAGGAAUAAAAUGACGUGUACCUGAAGAAUAAGCAUCGGCUAACUCCGUG